RNAcentral lists this ribosomal RNA (497 nucleotides) under uncultured bacterium. Its description in RNAcentral is "partial 16S ribosomal RNA". It matches the Rfam family "Bacterial small subunit ribosomal RNA", at positions 28 to 507 of the family's 1533-position model. The record is from RNAcentral.
GAUGAACGCUGGCGGCGUGCCUAAUACAUGCCAGUCGAGCGAACAGACGAGGAGCUUGCUCCUCUGACGUUAGCGGCGGACGGGUGAGUAACACGUGGAUAACCUACCUAUAAGACUGGGAUAACUUCGGGAAACCGGAGCUAAUACCGGAUAAUAUAUUGAACCGCAUGGUUCAAUAGUGAAAGACGGUUUUGCUGUCACUUAUAGAUGGAUCCGCGCCGCAUUAGCUAGUUGGUAAGGUAACGGCUUACCAAGGCGACGAUGCGUAGCCGACCUGAGAGGGUGAUCGGCCACACUGGAACUGAGACACGGUCCAGACUCCUACGGGGGGAAGCAGUAGGGAAUCUUCCGCGAUGGGCGAAAGCCUGAUGGAGCAACGCCGCGUGAGUGAUGAAGGUCUUCGGAUCGUAAAACUCUGUUAUUAGGGAAGAACAAAUGUGUAAGUAACUAUGCACGUCUUGACGGUACCUAAUCAGAAAGCCACGGCUAACUACGUG